AUGGCCCUGGGGUUGCCCGUGGGUCCUGCCCACGGCCCCCAGCGUGGGGUGCACAGGCAGCAGCAACUUGUGUCUGGGUGUGAGCGUACCCGGCCACGCUGUGCCCACUGCUCAUGGCUGGUGCCAUGGGUGGAGGGAGCCCAGCCGGGGGCCGAGCAGGUCCUCCCCAGUGCCCGGAGGUGCCAAGCAGGCUGGGACCAGCAUGGGCUGGUGGAGAUCACAGCCCCCGUGGGCCGUGCCCAGGUCCUGGGCCCCUGCACUCUGCCCGACUGUGCUGCCAGGAGGGCACAGCCCUGGGCAGGGGCUGCUGGAGGCCCCCCCCAGCUCCUCUCUUCUCCCUCCGAAGGGUCUCCAGGGGGAACGCGGCCCUGCCGGGCUCGCUGGAGCCAAAGGGGAGCCGGGACCCCCCGGGCAGCCUGGCUACCCCGGUGCGACGGGCCCCCCCGGCCUUCCCGGCAUCAAAGGUGAGCGAGGCUACGUGGGUCCCCCUGGAGAGAAAGGGGAACUGGUGAGUCCCUCGGGGCCGUGCUUCAGGGACAGAGGGGCUGGGGCUCUCCGAGGUGCCCCCCCUCUCCGUGUGCACUGGGGCUGAGGU
Molecule: long non-coding RNA, 595 nt
Filed under: Athene cunicularia (burrowing owl)
Lineage: Eukaryota; Metazoa; Chordata; Aves; Strigiformes; Strigidae
Description: lncRNA (ENSACUG00000011058.1)
Source: RNAcentral